GACGAACGCUGGCGGCGUGCUUAACACAUGCAAGUCGAACGGAAAGGCCCUGCUUUUGUGGGGUGCUCGAGUGGCGAACGGGUGAGUAACACGUGAGUAACCUGCCCUUGACUUUGGGAUAACUUCAGGAAACUGGGGCUAAUACCGGAUAGGAGCUCCUGCUGCAUGGUGGGGGUUGGAAAGUUUCGGCGGUUGGGGAUGGACUCGCGGCUUAUCAGCUUGUUGGUGGGGUAGUGGCUUACCAAGGCUUUGACGGGUAGCCGGCCUGAGAGGGUGACCGGCCACAUUGGGCCUGGGAUACGGCCCGGACUCAUACGGGAGGCAGCAGUGGGGAAUAUUGCGCAAUGGGCGGAGGCCGGAUGCAGCAACGCCGCGUGCGGGAUGACGGCCUUCGGGUUGUAAACCGCUUUCGCCUGUGACGAAGCGUGAGUGACGGUAAUGGGUAAAGAAGCACCGGCUACCUACGU
This 467-nucleotide ribosomal RNA is filed under the name uncultured bacterium. RNAcentral's name for it is "partial 16S ribosomal RNA". It matches the Rfam family "Bacterial small subunit ribosomal RNA", at positions 28 to 506 of the family's 1533-position model. The record is from RNAcentral.